Molecule: transfer RNA, 65 nt
Filed under: Stenopsocus immaculatus
Lineage: Eukaryota; Metazoa; Arthropoda; Insecta; Psocodea; Stenopsocidae
Description: tRNA-Glu
Source: RNAcentral
GUUUAUAUAAUUUAAUUAAAAAUAUUACAUUUUCAUUGUAAAAAUAAUCGUGAGAUUUAUAAAUG